AGUGAACGCUGGCGGUAGGCCUAACACAUGCAAGUCGAACGGCAGCACAGGAGAGCUUGCUCUCUGGGUGGCGAGUGGCGGACGGGUGAGGAAUACACCGGAAUCUACUCUGUCGUGGGGGAUAACGUAGGGAAACUUACGCUAAUACCGCAUACGACCUACGGGUGAAAGCAGGGGACCUUCGGGCCUUGCGCGAUUGAAUGAGCCGAUGUCGGAUUAGCUAGUUGGCGGGGUAAAGGCCCACCAAGGCGACGAUCCGUAGCUGGUCUGAGAGGAUGAUCAGCCACACGGGAACUGAGACACGGUCCAGACUCCUACGGGAGGCAGCAGUGGGGAAUAUUGGACAAGGGGCGCAAGCCUGUUCCAGCCAUACCGCGUGGGUGAAGAAGGCCUUCGGGUUGUAAAGCCCUUUUGUUGGGAAAGAAAUCCAGCUGGCUAAUACCCGGUUGGGAUGACGGUACCCAAAGAAUAAGCACCGGCUAACUUCGUGCCAGCCGCCGCCGUAA
Molecule: ribosomal RNA, 506 nt
Filed under: uncultured bacterium
Lineage: Bacteria
Description: partial 16S ribosomal RNA
Rfam family: Bacterial small subunit ribosomal RNA
Source: RNAcentral